UACGAGGGGGGCAAAUGUUGUUCGGAAUCACUGGGCGUAAAGCGCACGUAGGCGGAUAUGUCAGUCAGGGGUGAAAUCCCGGGGCUCAACCUCGGAACUGCCCUUGAUACAGCAUAUCUUGAGUCCGAUAGAGGUGGGUGGAAUUCCUAGUGUAGAGGUGAAAUUCGUAGAUAUUAGGAAGAACACCGGUGGCGAAGGCGGCCCACUGGAUCGGUACUGACGCUGAGGUGCGAAAGCGUGGGGAGCAAACAGG
RNAcentral lists this ribosomal RNA (253 nucleotides) under uncultured bacterium. Its description in RNAcentral is "partial 16S ribosomal RNA". It matches the Rfam family "Bacterial small subunit ribosomal RNA", at positions 524 to 776 of the family's 1533-position model. The record is from RNAcentral.